GUGUUCUUAGCUCAGUUGGUUAGAGCAUCACCUUAACAUGGUGGGGAUAGGAGGUCCGAGUUCUCCAGAACACACCA
This 77-nucleotide transfer RNA is filed under the name Erwinia tracheiphila. RNAcentral describes it as "tRNA-Val". It matches the Rfam family "tRNA". Rfam says of the family: Transfer RNA (tRNA) molecules are approximately 80 nucleotides in length. Lineage: Bacteria; Pseudomonadati; Pseudomonadota; Gammaproteobacteria; Enterobacterales; Erwiniaceae. The record is from RNAcentral. RNAcentral also lists the same sequence under 1 other name.